RNAcentral lists this ribosomal RNA (379 nucleotides) under uncultured eukaryote. RNAcentral's name for it is "partial 18S ribosomal RNA". It matches the Rfam family "Eukaryotic small subunit ribosomal RNA", at positions 592 to 976 of the family's 1831-position model. The record is from RNAcentral.
CAAUAGCGUAUAUUAAAGUUGUUGCGGUAAAAAAGCUCGUAGUUGGAUUUCUGUUGAGAGCGACCAGUCCAUACCAUGUAUGCGUAUCUGGCUUGCUCUCGGCAUCCUCUCGAUAGACGUUACUGCGCUUGAUUGCGUGGUGCGGAUCUCGGGACUUUUACUUUGAGGAAAUUAGAGUGUUCACGGCAGGCUUUCGCCAGAAUACAUUAGCAUGGAAUAAUACUAUAGGAUCUUGGUUCUAUUUUGUUGGUUUCUAGAAUUGAGAUAAUGAUUAAUAGGGACAAUUGGGGGCAUUCGUAUCAACACGUCAGAGGUGGAAUUCUUGGAUUGUGUUGCGACGAACUACUGCGAAAGCAUUUGCCAAGGAUGUUUUCAUUGA